GACGAACGCUGGCGGCGUGCUUAACACAUGCAAGUCGAACGGAAAGGCCCCUUUGGGGGUACUCGAGUGGCGAACGGGUGCGUAACACGUGAGUAACCUGCCCUUGACUUCGGGAUAACUUCAGGAAACUGGGGCUAAUACCGGAUAGGAAUCCUUGCUGCAUGGUGGGGGUUGGAAAGCUUCGGCGGUUUUGGAUGGACUCGCGGCUUAUCAGCUUGUUGGUGGGGUAGUGGCUUACCAAGGCUUUGACGGGUAGCCGGCCUGAGAGGGCGACCGGCCACAUUGGGGCUGAGAUACGGCCCAGACUCCUACGGGAGGCAGCAGUGGGGAAUAUUGCACAAUGGGCGGAAGCCUGAUGCAGCAACGCCGCGUGCGGGAUGACGGCCUUCGGGUUGUAAACCGCUUUCAGCAGGGGCGAAGCUUGUGGUGACGGUACCUGCAGAAGAAGCACCGGCUAACUACGUG
This 465-nucleotide ribosomal RNA is filed under the name uncultured bacterium. RNAcentral describes it as "partial 16S ribosomal RNA". It matches the Rfam family "Bacterial small subunit ribosomal RNA", at positions 28 to 507 of the family's 1533-position model. The record is from RNAcentral.